UGAUUGGAUGAAGGAAAAAAUAAUUUUGAACUAUAAAGCAUGGUAAAAAAAUUCCAGACCUUCUUCCAAAAUCCAAUCCCAUUGCAGGAAAGUUGCAAUAGGGGUGCAAAUGGGUCAUGGGCGACACCAUGAGAUUUGAAAAUGAGAAGAAGGAAUUUGAGUUUUCUGGAGAAAAAUUGGAAUUUGGGUUAUCGAAGAAAUUUAGGCGGAACGGCGGGCAUACUUAGUUUCAUUUUAGAUUUUCCUCCUUUUAUCUUUUUUUUAAAAUUUACAUUUACUCAAAAAUAAUAUUUUUAAUAUUUUUGGAAUUAAAAAUUAAAUUUGGUGACGGAAAUUUUUGUUAAUAACCUGUCACCGCCAAAAAUAAUUUUUAAAAAUUUAUAAAUAUUUGGGUUACGAUAUUUGUGACGGCUGUAUUUGUCACUGUCUGGUUGCAAUUUUGGUUAUCAUAUUGUUGACAGAUACCCCGUCACUAUGAUGGUCACUAAGUUCUGGCGCCCAUCCUACCCGCGCAUUCUGUGACCGGUCUGUCACUAAUCGGUCACUAAGUUAACACCACGGUGACCAAAUUUCUGUCGGUCACUAAUCCGUCACAAAUAGUGACUGAUAACGGUCCGUCACGAAUUUUCCGUCACUAUACGCG
RNAcentral lists this long non-coding RNA (643 nucleotides) under Phoenix dactylifera (date palm). Its description in RNAcentral is "long non-coding RNA (PDAC_LNC000700)". Lineage: Eukaryota; Viridiplantae; Streptophyta; Magnoliopsida; Arecales; Arecaceae. The record is from RNAcentral.